UUCCUUCGGGACACGAAAGCAAGGUGCUGCAUGGUUGUCGUCAGCUCGUGCCGUGAGGUGUUGGGUUAAGUCCCGCAACGAGCGCAACCCUUAUCACUAGUUGCCAGCACGUAUGGUGGGGACUCUAGUGGACUGCCGGGCGUAAGCCGCGAGGAAGGUGGGGACGACGUCAAAUCAUCAUGGCCUUUAUGCCUAGGGCGACACACGUGCUACAAUGGCGAGUACAGAGGGUAGCGAAGCCGCAAGGUGGAGCCAAUCUCAUAAAACUCGUCCCUGUUCGGAUUGAAGUCUGGAACUCGACUUCAUGAAGGUGGAAUCGCUAGUAAUCGCGCAUCAGCCAUGGCGCGGUGAAUACGUUCCCGGACCUUGUACACACCGCCCGUC
This 384-nucleotide ribosomal RNA is filed under the name uncultured Bacteroidota bacterium. RNAcentral's name for it is "bacterial SSU rRNA". It matches the Rfam family "Bacterial small subunit ribosomal RNA", at positions 1014 to 1398 of the family's 1533-position model. Lineage: Bacteria; Pseudomonadati; Bacteroidota. The record is from RNAcentral.